This 253-nucleotide ribosomal RNA is filed under the name uncultured bacterium. RNAcentral describes it as "partial 16S ribosomal RNA". It matches the Rfam family "Bacterial small subunit ribosomal RNA", at positions 524 to 776 of the family's 1533-position model. The record is from RNAcentral.
UACAGAGGUCUCAAGCGUUGUUCGGAUUCAUUGGGCGUAAAGGGCGCGUAGGCGGCCCGGCAAGUCGGGUGUGAAAGCUUGGGGCUUAACCCCGAAAGGGCACUCGAAACUGCCCUGCUAGAGGGCCGGAGAGGAGAUCGGAAUUCACGGUGUAGCAGUGAAAUGCGUAGAGCUCGUGAGGAAGACCGGUGGCGAAGGCGGAUCUCUGGACGGCCCCUGACGCUGAGGCGCGAAGGCUAGGGGAGCAAACGGG